Molecule: ribosomal RNA, 483 nt
Filed under: uncultured bacterium
Lineage: Bacteria
Description: partial 16S ribosomal RNA
Rfam family: Bacterial small subunit ribosomal RNA
Source: RNAcentral
GACGAACGCUGGCGGCGUGCUUAACACAUGCAAGUCGAACGAUGAAAGUGGAGCUUGCUCCGCUGGAUUAGUGGCGAACGGGUGAGUAACACGUGGGCAACCUGCCCCAGACUCUGGGAUAACUCCUCGAAAGAGGUGCUAAUACCGGAUACGAACUCCUUGGGCAUCCUUGGAGUUGGAAAGUUUUUCGGUCUGGGUUGGGCCCGCGGCCUAUCAGCUUGUUGGUGGGGUGGUGGCCCACCAAGGCGACGACGGGUAGCCGGCCUGAGAGGGCGCCCGGCCACACUGGGACGGAGACACGGCCCAGACUCCUACGGGAGGCAGCAGUGGGGAAUAUUGCACAAUGGGCGCAAGCCUGAUGCAGCACCGCCGCGUGAGGGAUGACGGCCUUCGGGUUGUAACCCUCUUUUAGUAGGGAAGAAGCGAAAGUGACGGUACCUGCAGAAAAAGCCCCGGCUAACUACGUGCCAGCAGCCGCGGUAA